AUUGAACGCUGGCGGCAUGCCUUACACAUGCAAGUCGAACGGCAGCACGGGUGCUUGCACCUGGUGGCGAGUGGCGAAAGGGUGAGUAAUACAUCGGAACAUGUCCUGUAGUGGGGGAUAGCCCGGCGAAAGCCGGAUUAAUACCGCAUACGAUCUACGGAUGAAAGCGGGGGACCUUCGGGCCUCGCGCUAUAGGGUUGGCCGAUGGCUGAUUAGCUAGUUGGUGGGGUAAAGGCCUACCAAGGCGACGAUCAGUAGCUGGUCUGAGAGGACGACCAGCCACACUGGGACUGAGACACGGCCCAGACUCCUACGGGAGGCAGCAGUGGGGAAUUUUGGACAAUGGGCGAAAGCCUGGUCCAGCAAUGCCGCGUGUGUGAAGAAGGCCUUCGGGUUGUAAAGCACUUUUGUCCGGAAAGAAAUCCUUGGCUCUAAUACAGUCGGGGGAUGACGGUACCGGAAGAAUAAGCACCGGCUAACUACGUG
Molecule: ribosomal RNA, 486 nt
Filed under: uncultured bacterium
Lineage: Bacteria
Description: partial 16S ribosomal RNA
Rfam family: Bacterial small subunit ribosomal RNA
Source: RNAcentral